This 425-nucleotide ribosomal RNA is filed under the name Salmonella enterica subsp. enterica serovar Infantis. RNAcentral describes it as "bacterial SSU rRNA". It matches the Rfam family "Bacterial small subunit ribosomal RNA", at positions 1090 to 1515 of the family's 1533-position model. The record is from RNAcentral. Lineage: Bacteria; Pseudomonadati; Pseudomonadota; Gammaproteobacteria; Enterobacterales; Enterobacteriaceae.
CAACGAGCGCAACCCUUAUCCUUUGUUGCCAGCGGUUCGGCCGGGAACUCAAAGGAGACUGCCAGUGAUAAACUGGAGGAAGGUGGGGAUGACGUCAAGUCAUCAUGGCCCUUACGACCAGGGCUACACACGUGCUACAAUGGCGCAUACAAAGAGAAGCGACCUCGCGAGAGCAAGCGGACCUCAUAAAGUGCGUCGUAGUCCGGAUUGGAGUCUGCAACUCGACUCCAUGAAGUCGGAAUCGCUAGUAAUCGUGGAUCAGAAUGCCACGGUGAAUACGUUCCCGGGCCUUGUACACACCGCCCGUCACACCAUGGGAGUGGGUUGCAAAAGAAGUAGGUAGCUUAACCUUCGGGAGGGCGCUUACCACUUUGUGAUUCAUGACUGGGGUGAAGUCGUAACAAGGUAACCGUAGGGGAACCUGC